RNAcentral lists this ribosomal RNA (986 nucleotides) under Apilactobacillus kunkeei. Its description in RNAcentral is "bacterial SSU rRNA". It matches the Rfam family "Bacterial small subunit ribosomal RNA", at positions 381 to 1361 of the family's 1533-position model. Lineage: Bacteria; Bacillati; Bacillota; Bacilli; Lactobacillales; Lactobacillaceae. The record is from RNAcentral.
CUUUGAUGGAGCACGCCGCGUGAGUGAUGAAGGUUUUCGGAUCGUAAAACUCUGUUGUUAAAGAAGAACAAGUGUUAGAGUAACUGUUAACACUUUGACGGUAUUUAACCAGAAAGCCACGGCUAACUACGUGCCAGCAGCCGCGGUAAUACGUAGGUGGCAAGCGUUGUCCGGAUUUAUUGGGCGUAAAGCGAGCGCAGGCGGUUUUGUAAGUCUGCUGUGAAAGCCCUCAGCUCAACUGAGGAAGUGCAGUGGAAACUACAAAACUUGAGUACAGAAGAGGAAAGUGGAACUCCAUGUGUAGCGGUGAAAUGCGUAGAUAUAUGGAAGAACACCAGUGGCGAAGGCGGCUUUCUGGUCUGUUACUGACGCUGAGGCUCGAAAGCAUGGGUAGCGAACAGGAUUAGAUACCCUGGUAGUCCAUGCCGUAAACGAUGAAUACUAGGUGUUGGAGGGUUUCCGCCCUUCAGUGCCGCAGCUAACGCAUUAAGUAUUCCGCCUGGGGAGUACGACCGCAAGGUUGAAACUCAAAGGAAUUGACGGGGGCCCGCACAAGUGGUGGAGCAUGUGGUUUAAUUCGAUGCUACGCGAAGAACCUUACCAGCUCUUGACAUCUUCUGCCAACCCAAGAGAUUGGGCGUUCCCUUCGGGGACAGAAUGACAGGUGGUGCAUGGUUGUCGUCAGCUCGUGUCGUGAGAUGUUGGGUUAAGUCCCGCAACGAGCGCAACCCUUAUUAUUAGUUGCCAGCAUUUAGUUGGGCACUCUAGUGAGACUGCCGGUGAUAAACCGGAGGAAGGUGGGGACGACGUCAAAUCAUCAUGCCCCUUAUGAGCUGGGCUACACACGUGCUACAAUGGAUGGUACAACGAGUCGCGAAACCGCGAGGUCAAGCUAAUCUCUUAAAGCCAUUCUCAGUUCGGAUUGCAGGCUGCAACUCGCCUGCAUGAAGUUGGAAUCACUAGUAAUCGUGGAUCAGCAUGCCACG